GGAUUUUUUUUUUAAAAAAAAAAGAUUCGCUCUCUACUUUCUUUUUCUUCCUGUGUCUUCUUUCGUUCUCUUCUCUCUCUUUUUUCCUAUUUUUUCCCCACUCUAUAUAUAACGCGUUUAUUUUGUUGUGUAUGUUC
RNAcentral lists this unclassified non-coding RNA (137 nucleotides) under Trypanosoma minasense. RNAcentral's name for it is "partial ITS2". The record is from RNAcentral. Lineage: Eukaryota; Euglenozoa; Kinetoplastea; Trypanosomatida; Trypanosomatidae.